AUUGAACGCUGGCGGCAGGCCUAACACAUGCAAGUCGAGCGGAUGAAGGGAGCUUGCUCCUGGAUUCAGCGGCGGACGGGUGAGUAAUGCCUAGGAAUCUGCCUGGUAGUGGGGGAUAACGUCCGGAAACGGGCGCUAAUACCGCAUACGUCCUGAGGGUGAAAGUGGGGGAUCUUCGGACCUCACGCUAUCAGAUGAGCCUAGGUCGGAUUAGCUAGUUGGUGGGGUAAAGGCCUACCAAGGCGACGAUCCGUAACUGGUCUGAGAGGAUGAUCAGUCACACUAGAACUGAGACACAGUCCAGACUCCUACGGGAGGCAGCAGUGGGGAAUAUUAGACAAUGGGCGAAAGCCUGAUCCAGCCAUGCCGCGUGUGUGAAGAAGGUCUUCGGAUUGUAAAGCUCUUUAAGUUGGGAGGAAGGGCAGUAAGUUCAUACCUUGCUGUUUUGACGUUACCAACAGAAUAAGCACCGGCUAACUUCGUG
RNAcentral lists this ribosomal RNA (484 nucleotides) under uncultured bacterium. RNAcentral's name for it is "partial 16S ribosomal RNA". It matches the Rfam family "Bacterial small subunit ribosomal RNA", at positions 30 to 507 of the family's 1533-position model. The record is from RNAcentral.